GGGCUGACAUUGUAUGAUUUAAAUCUAGGACAGGACAAAGAGAAAUUAGUAAGGGAAGUGAAGAUGGGUUUAGAAGUAGAAAGAGAAAGAGUUUGGAUGGAGAAUUGCGGGAUUUUCAUGGGUUUUUGGGAGAGAGCGAAAAGUGUGAUGACUCUGGGGACGGCACCAGUGGCAGCCAUGUCUUUGUAACGGUAUUUAGAAAGCCAGAUAGAGGAUAUGCUGCUCAAUU
This 229-nucleotide unclassified non-coding RNA is filed under the name Hevea brasiliensis (rubber tree). The record is from RNAcentral. Lineage: Eukaryota; Viridiplantae; Streptophyta; Magnoliopsida; Malpighiales; Euphorbiaceae.